This 73-nucleotide transfer RNA is filed under the name Planctomycetaceae bacterium. RNAcentral describes it as "tRNA-Ala". It matches the Rfam family "tRNA". Rfam says of the family: Transfer RNA (tRNA) molecules are approximately 80 nucleotides in length. Lineage: Bacteria; Pseudomonadati; Planctomycetota; Planctomycetia; Planctomycetales; Planctomycetaceae. The record is from RNAcentral. RNAcentral also lists the same sequence under 2 other names.
GGGGGAUUAGCUCAGUUGGGAGAGCGCUUGAAUGGCAUUCAAGAGGUCGAGGGUUCGAAUCCCUUAUCCUCCA